ACUGCUCAGUAACACGUAGUCAACAUGCCCAGAGGACGUGGAUAACCUCGGGAAACUGAGGAUAAACCGCGAUAGGUCAUAAUUACUGGAAUGUGUUAUGGCCCAAAUCUAUAUGGCCUCUGGAUUGGACUGCGGCCGAUCAGGCUGUUGGUGAGGUAAUGGCCCACCAAACCUUUUACCGGUACGGGCUCUGAGAGGAGGAGCCCGGAGAUGGGCACUGAGACAAGGGCCCAGGCCCUAUGGGGCGCAGCAGGCGCGAAACCUCUGCAAUAGGCGAAAGCCUGACAGGGUUACUCUGAGUGAUUCCCGCUAAGGGAAUCUUUUGGCAUCUCUAAAAAUGGUGCAGAAUAAGGGGUGGGCAAGUCUGGUGUCAGCCGCCGCGGUAAUACCAGCACCCCGAGUGGUCGGGACGAUUAUUGGGCCUAAAGCAUCCGUAGCCGGUCUUGCAAGUCUUCCGUUAAAUCCAGCUGCUUAACAGAUGGGCUGCGGAGGAUACUACAAGGCUAGGAGGCGGGAGAGGCAAGCGGUACUCAGUGGGUAGGGGUAAAAUCCUCUGAUCCAUUGAAGACCACCAGUGGCGAAGGCGGCUUGCCAGAACGCGCUCGACGGUGAGGGAUGAAAGCUGGGGGAGCAAACCGGAUUAGAUACCCGGGUAGUCCCAGCUGUAAACGAUGCAGACUCGGUGAUGGGCUGGCCUUGUGCCAACCCAGUGCCGCAGGGAAGCCGUUAAGUCUGCCGCCUGGGGAGUACGGUCGCAAGACUGAAACUUAAAGGAAUUGGCGGGGGAGCAC
Molecule: ribosomal RNA, 791 nt
Filed under: uncultured archaeon
Lineage: Archaea
Description: bacterial SSU rRNA
Rfam family: Archaeal small subunit ribosomal RNA
Source: RNAcentral